UAAAAAAAAGUUGGAUCCUUAAGAGGUUUUAAAACAUUAACAAAGCAGUUUGUUCAUUUACAGCUGGCUCCAGAUUGCUCCUUUAAGGUUGAACAUUCAAGGUGACUGCUUAUUUCUAAACUUCACGGAAGGAGGAUUCCCCACAGGUGCCUUGGAGACUGGUGGAGAAUAUGGAACCGUUGCGUCUCACCCAAAAUCCUCUCAGGCACAGCCAAUUGAAGUGCAUGCAGGAGGAGACAGCAUCACGUUCCUCUGAGCUAGACUGCUACUCAGGGACAGAAAACAAAGAGAAAUUAAAUGACUUUAUCACCAAGAGAUUCAGCUGGAAUGUAGAGGGACUGUACCGUUUUGUUUACCUUGCCUUGUCUUUAUGUUACCUACCAGACCUGUAAAGAAAUUAACAAAACAUUUAAAGAUUUUUUGUGGAAAGAAUUUAUACAAAUAAAUCUGUUCUGUCUAGUAAA
Molecule: long non-coding RNA, 464 nt
Organism: Oncorhynchus kisutch (coho salmon)
Lineage: Eukaryota; Metazoa; Chordata; Actinopteri; Salmoniformes; Salmonidae
Exons: 2
Source: RefSeq, a predicted model, not a curated record